RNAcentral lists this ribosomal RNA (253 nucleotides) under uncultured bacterium. RNAcentral's name for it is "partial 16S ribosomal RNA". It matches the Rfam family "Bacterial small subunit ribosomal RNA", at positions 524 to 776 of the family's 1533-position model. The record is from RNAcentral.
UACGUAGGGCGCGAGCGUUGUCCGGAUUUAUUGGGCGUAAAGAGCUCGUAGGCGGCUUGUUGCGUCAGCUGUGAAAACCCGCAGCUCAACUGUGGGCUUGCAGCUGAUACGAGCAAACUAGAGUGUUGCAGGGGAGACUGGAAUUCCUGGUGUAGCGGUGAAAUGCGCAGAUAUCAGGAGGAACACCGGUGGCGAAGGCGGGUCUCUGGGCCGUAACUGACGCUGAGGAGCGAAAGCAUGGGGAGCGAACAGG